AUUGAACGCUGGCGGCAGGCCUAACACGUGCAAGUCGAGCGGAUGAAGGGAGCUUGCUCCUGGAUUCAGCGGCGGACGGGUGAGUAAUGCCUAGGAAUCUGCCUGGUAGUGGGGGAUAACGUCCGGAAACGGGCGCUAAUACCGCAUACGUCCUGAGGGAGAAAGUGGGGGAUCUUCGGACCUCACGCUAUCAGAUGAGCCUAGGUCGGAUUAGCUAGUUGGUGGGGUAGAGGCCUACCAAGGCGACGAUCCGUAACUGGUCUGAGAGGAUGAUCAGUCACACUGGAACUGAGACACGGUCCAGACUCCUACGGGAGGCAGCAGUGGGGAAUAUUGGACAAUGGGCGAAAGCCUGAUCCAGCCAUGCCGCGUGUGUGAAGAAGGUCUUCGGAUUGUAAAGCACUUUAAGUUGGGAGGAAGGGCAGUAAGUUAAUACCUUGCUGUUUUGACGUUACCAACAGAAUAAGCACCGGCUAACUUCGUG
Molecule: ribosomal RNA, 484 nt
Filed under: uncultured bacterium
Lineage: Bacteria
Description: partial 16S ribosomal RNA
Rfam family: Bacterial small subunit ribosomal RNA
Source: RNAcentral